UACGUAGGGUGCGAGCGUUAAUCGGAAUUACUGGGCGUAAAGCGUGCGCAGGCGGUUUUGUAAGCCAGAUGUGAAAUCCCCGGGCUUAACCUGGGAAUGGCAUUUGGGACUGCAAGGCUCGAGUGCGGCAGAGGAGACUGGAAUUCCUGGUGUAGCAGUGAAAUGCAUAGAUAUCAGGAGGAACACCGAUGGCGAAGGCAGGUCUCUGGGCUGACACUGACGCUCAUGCACGAAAGCGUGGGGAGCAAACAGG
This 253-nucleotide ribosomal RNA is filed under the name uncultured bacterium. Its description in RNAcentral is "partial 16S ribosomal RNA". It matches the Rfam family "Bacterial small subunit ribosomal RNA", at positions 524 to 776 of the family's 1533-position model. The record is from RNAcentral.